UCCGAAGGUCCAGAGUUC
RNAcentral lists this non-coding RNA (18 nucleotides) under Mus musculus (house mouse). Lineage: Eukaryota; Metazoa; Chordata; Mammalia; Rodentia; Muridae. The record is from RNAcentral.